Molecule: ribosomal RNA, 594 nt
Filed under: uncultured organism
Description: bacterial SSU rRNA
Rfam family: Bacterial small subunit ribosomal RNA
Source: RNAcentral
AAAGAUUUAUCGCCUUAAGAGGGGUGAGCGGAUCAACAGUUAGUUGGUGAGGUAAAUGCUCACCAAGACGAUGACGGAUAGCCGGCCUGAGAGGGUGAUCGGCCGCAACGGGACUGAGACACGGCCCGUACUCCUACGGGAGGCAGCAGUGAGGAAUUUUGGACAAUGGAGGAAACUCUGAUCCAGCUAUUCUGCGUGAAGGAUGAAGCUUUUCGGAGUGUAAACUUCUUUUCUGGGGGAAGACGAAUGACGGUACCUCAAGAAUAAGAGGCGGCUAACUAUGUGCCAGCAGCCGCGGUAAUACAUAGGCCUCAAAUGUUACCCGGAGUUACUGGGCGUAAAGGGUCCGUAGCCGGAUAUGUAAGUCUAUCUUCAAAAACUGAAGCUUAACUUCAGGGAGGGGGUAGAUACUGUAUAUCUAGAGAUAGAAGGGGGUUAGUGGAAUUUCCGGUGGAGCGGUGGAAUGUGUUGAUAUCGGGAAGAACGCCAAAAGUGAAGACAGCUAACUACUACUAAUCUGACGGUGAGUGACGAAAGCAUAGGUAUCAAAUAGGAUUAGAUACCCUAGUAGUCUAUGCUGUAAAUGAUGUAUGC